GAGACCCCAGUAUCCGAUCUUUUGAGUCGAGACCAUUGGAGGGAGAUAGCUGGAUAUGGUGAGGAGAGAUUGUCCACUGUUUUGGUCACAGGCUCUGUUCUUUGUGAAGCUUGUUUGCAUGGUGAUGAACCUCAAGUUCAUGCAUGGCCUAUUAAAGGUACUACCAGCUAACUUCUUAUUUGAAGAACAAAAAAAAACACCAAUAAAAUCAAGCUUUGUUUUUACCUUUCUGAUGAUAUUAUACAAACCAAAUCAAUCACUGCAGGUGCUAUGGUGGGUGUGAAUUGCCACAACACUGGAAAAAACAGCAAAUCUUCUGAUUGGGUACAUGGAGUCACGGAUGAAUUUGGGGACUUUGUUAUUGAUAUUCCAUCCCAUCUUCAUGCAACCCGAAGCUUCGAAAAUGUCUGUU
Molecule: long non-coding RNA, 412 nt
Filed under: Cucumis sativus (cucumber)
Lineage: Eukaryota; Viridiplantae; Streptophyta; Magnoliopsida; Cucurbitales; Cucurbitaceae
Description: long non-coding RNA (CSAT_LNC003203)
Source: RNAcentral